This 1259-nucleotide ribosomal RNA is filed under the name metagenome. Its description in RNAcentral is "bacterial LSU rRNA". It matches the Rfam family "Bacterial large subunit ribosomal RNA", at positions 1677 to 2925 of the family's 2925-position model. The record is from RNAcentral.
UAUUCCAAGGCGCUUGAGAGAACUCAGGAGAAGGAACUCGGCAAAUUAGUACCGUAACUUCGGGAUAAGGUACGCCCCUAGUAGGUGAAAGUGUACAACUGGAGCCGAAUGGGGUCGCAGUGAAAAGGUGGCUGUGACUGUUUAACAAAAACACAGCACUCUGCAAACACGUCAAGUGGACGUAUAGGGUGUGACGCCUGCCCGGUGCCGGAAGGUUAAGUGAUGGGGUGCAAGCUCUUGAUCGAAGCCCCGGUAAACGGCGGCCGUAACAAUAACGGUCCUAAGGUAGCGAAAUUCCUUGUCGGGUAAGUUCCGACCUGCACGAAUGGCGUAACGAUGGCCACACUGUCUCCUCCUGAGACUCAGCGAAGUUGAAGUGUUUGUGAUGAUGCAAUCUCCCCGCUGCAAGACGGAAAGACCCCGUGCACCUUUACUGCAACUUUGCAUUGGACUUUGAUGAGAUUUGUGUAGGAUAGCUGGGAGACUUUGAAGUGGGGGCGCUAGCUCUCAUGGAGUCGCCGUUGAAAUACCAGCCUGAUGUUAUUGAGGUUCUAACCUGGAUCCGUAAUCCGGAUCGGGGACCGUGCAUGGUGGGCAGUUUGACUGGGGCGGUCUCCUCCCAAAGAGUAACGGAGGAGUGCGACGGUACGCUUAGCGCGGUCGGCUAUCGCGCUGUAUGUGCAAUGGCAAAAGCGUGCUUAACUGCGAGACGGACAUGUCGAGCAGGUGCGAAAGCAGGUCAUAGUGAUCCGGUGGUUCUGUAUGGAAGGGCCAUCGCUCAACGGAUAAAAGGUACGCCGGGGAUAACAGGCUGAUUCCUCCCAAGAGUUCAUAUCGACGGGGGAGUUUGGCACCUCGAUGUCGGCUCAUCACAUCCUGGGGCUGUAGCCGGUCCCAAGGGUAUGGCUGUUCGCCAUUUAAAGUGGUACGUGAGCUGGGUUCAAAACGUCGUGAGACAGUUUGGUCCCUAUCUGCAGUGGGCGUUGGAAGUUUGAGGGGGGCUGCUCCUAGUACGAGAGGACCGGAGUGGACGCAUCUCUGGUGUACCGGUUGUCACGCCAGUGGCAUCGCCGGGUAGCUAAAUGCGGAAGAGAUAAGCGCUGAAAGCAUCUAAGCGCGAAACUCGCCUCAAGAUGAGACUUCCCGGGAACUUGAUUCCCCUAAAGGGUCGCGGAAGACCACCGCGUUGAUAGGUCGGGUGUGUAAGAGCAGCAAUGCUUUGAGCUAACCGAUACUAAUUGCCCGUGAGGCUUGAUCCG